UGGUAAGACAGGAUCAGUAGGAAACCGGCUGUUCUGGGUAGAAUCAGUGGAAGAAACCAGGCACUUCACACACCUGCCCAGUGCAGAGAUGAAGAGGACCUUUCCCCAGAGACACCAAGAAGUCAGAACAUGGCAAAAUGAGGACGUUCCUCAAGAUGUGCCUGAAAAGCUAAUUCAGCCCCGGGGGUUCAUAUGCUGUUGGAAACUAUGCGCUCUCUAAACAGAGCAUCUUCUUGAAGAUGAAACUGAUAUGGGUGAAGAGAAGGAAUCAAUACCAACAACUGGACUGAAGCGGAAUUCAGAAGACCCAGCUGCAUCAACACCAUCUCAAACUGCUGAUAAAAUUGCUAAGUUGGGUGAAAGAGCUGCAAGAAAAGGUACAGAGCAGGGCCAGAUGAGGUAAGAAAGGCAGGUGCAAAAACAGGACUGCUGAGAUUGUGAUUAUUAGUGCGAUUCAAGAGGAAAAACACCAACAUGGACUGGUUUAAAAUCCUAAAGGAAAAAAAAAAGAAGAUGGUUGAAAGUUGAGGGUUGGAUUAGAUGAUUUUUGAAGGUCCCUUCCAACCCAAACCAUUCUGUGAUUCUACGGUCAGACUUCAGCAUCAUUGAGGGUCUUUAGGAGGGUGCAGAGCUGGCUAAUACUUCCUCACCUUCGCAGAUCUAGCAAAAAAAGGCAUUUCAGUCACAGGUAUCACCUAUCUCCAAGACAUGUAGCUCUGGAGAUGAUCUCAAAAGCAUCUCAUCCAUUUCCAGUCUGCCCGGGACCUCUAGACUUGGCAUCUGGGUGGGAUUUCUCUACCUGCCUGCAGCCUUCCUGAAUUUUUUAGCUUCUUUGUUCUUAUAUAGGGGUAUACAAGUAUAUUGUGGUUAUUAUUACAGUGAUGGAUAAAUUUUCAUCCAUGCCUAAUGCACCUUCCAGACUUAACCAAGAGCUGCUUCUCUCCUUGUGAAUCAUCUGUUUCAUUGCUUCAAUAGGUAGCUAUUUAUGGGUCUAAUAAUUCAGCCUUUGCCCUCCCUGUUGUGACUUGUUCCUAGGAGGAACUGAAAUCUCCCAUUAUUAUCGUGUUUUCCACCUUUGCAGACUCUAAUCUCUUUUUAGCUUUUCCCAGCAACUGUCAUGCUGUGAUAUUGCUCUGCGACAUUUCGAUCCAGAGAGAUUUCUCUCAGUACCUUUUGAUGCAAUUAGCUAUUUGAUUUCUUCCUUUAACGUAGGAUGCGAGUUCUUUUCUCAAUGGGAUUCCGCCACUGUAAAGUUAGUAUUCCAGUGUCCUGCUGAUUUUCUUUCUUCCACAAAGUUACAAAUAUGUGAAUUAUAUCAAUCCUUCCUUUAAAAAUGCAAGCAUUGCUAGGAUGAGAAACCAAAGAAAUAUAAUUGGGAGAUCUUGUAUAAAUAAAGUCAAGCAAAUUUCUUCUUAUGCUUAAGAAGCUUUUACUGCUAUUAUGGAAACACACCCAUCUGUAAAUGCACCGCCUGGGAAAACUGCCUUAGGAGAAAGCAGCAUAACUAGGAGGCCAAUGGUCUACUAUAGUCCAGAACUUGAAAUUAGAUCUUUUUUCAGUAGUAGUUUUACUUACUAGAAUCAUUUUUUUCAGCUAACCAUGGGGAAAUAAAUUGCAUAGUAGCACAGUUGAAGCAACACUGGAGAUAAGGACUUCCUGAUUAAUCAUAAAGUGGCCGUAAUUCUUAGAAACCUCAGCUCGACCAAUUUGACAUGCUUGGUAUGAGCUGGAGAUCCAUCUGCUCACUGUAAGAAGAAAGAAAAAGAAAACCCAUUCUUGCGGCUGCAAAAAAAGAAGACACUGGAUAAUUAUUGCAAGAGUUUGGGGUGAGCUACCUGGCAAAGAUGGGAAAUUGGUGUGAUUGGGUAAAAUCCAAGCUUGGGCAGAUACAGAAUUUUAGGGAUUGUUUUUGAAAACAAAAAUGAUUUCUGCAGCUAGACAAUCACAGAAAUCAACCACUUCAGCCCACUCAAAGGACAUCAGGCUGUAAAUACUUCUAAUAGCCAAAUAUUUUGCAAUAACAUGAUUAUCCAGUGACCUCAGUAUUAGUGGGAGUGAUGGCAGAGUUGAAAUGGUAAAAGCAUGCCUGAAUAAUAAAUGGGGAUGUUUAAAAUACGCUUGAUGUGAAAUGAGAAUGUUUUCUUUCUUCCUAACCUUUUCUCUUCAACUGUGUUGUUAAAUUCAGAAGAGUCUCACAUUAUUGUUUCCAUUUUUUCCCCCCAAAUUAAGGUGCGCUUGGUAAGUAAUUGGAAAUGCUGAAUGCCCAAGGAGACAAGCUGCCAGAUUACUCAUUCAAUAAGCUACCAAGUUUUCUUAAGGAGUUAGAAAUACAGUAUAGAGAAUUGUGAUAUACAGAGAAAAUACAGUGAUGGGCAUAAAUACACUGCUGCCCUCUGCUGCUCAAAUUCCUAAAUGUGCCUCAAACUCCAAUAUAGCUCCAACUAAGUAAGUCAGUGCAGCUCAUCAUAUUGCAGGGACAUAUCUCUGUGCUCAACUCUGUUUUGUAAAAAACUUCAUAAUUCAGCUAUAAUGGUUAUUUCUUCUCUCCUCAGCAGCAACACGAGUUCUUAAACCUGAAGAACCCUGAUGGCUCUUAAGGAUCAUUCAAAUUCUGAGUGUAGAACAGGUUUGGUAUCACUGUUGCCACCGGGAUUCAAAGUGGCUGUCUUUAUGUGAAAUAUAUGGACUGUCCGAUAGUAUUUGCUGUUUCACAUUAAACCAUCCUGCCAAAAUAAA
Molecule: long non-coding RNA, 2736 nt
Organism: Columba livia (rock pigeon)
Lineage: Eukaryota; Metazoa; Chordata; Aves; Columbiformes; Columbidae
Exons: 2
Source: RefSeq, a predicted model, not a curated record